GAGUUUGAUCCUGGCUCAGAUUGAACGCUGGCGGCAUGCCUUACACAUGCAAGUCGAACGGUAACAGGUCUUCGGAUGCUGACGAGUGGCGAACGGGUGAGUAAUACAUCGGAACGUGCCCGAUCGUGGGGGAUAACGGAGCGAAAGCUUUGCUAAUACCGCAUACGAUCUACGGAUGAAAGCAGGGACCGCAAGGCCUUGCGCGGACGGAGCGGCCGAUGGCAGGAUUAGGUAGUUGGUGGGAUAAAAGCUUACCAAGCCGACGAUCUGUAGCUGGUCUGAGAGGACGACCAGCCGACACUGGGACUGAGACACGGCCCAGACUCCUACGGGAGGCAGCAGUGGGAAUUUGGACAAUGGCGAAAGCCUGAUCCAGCCAUGCCGCGUGCAGGAUGAAGGCC
RNAcentral lists this ribosomal RNA (401 nucleotides) under uncultured microorganism. RNAcentral's name for it is "bacterial SSU rRNA". It matches the Rfam family "Bacterial small subunit ribosomal RNA", at positions 9 to 416 of the family's 1533-position model. The record is from RNAcentral.